Molecule: non-coding RNA, 264 nt
Filed under: Chloroflexota bacterium
Lineage: Bacteria; Bacillati; Chloroflexota
Description: Chloroflexi bacterium T-box sequence
Rfam family: T-box leader
About the family: Uncharged tRNA acts as the effector for transcription antitermination of genes in the T-box leader family. T-boxes are found upstream of many aminoacyl-tRNA synthetase genes and some amino acid biosynthetic genes usually in Gram-positive bacteria. The anticodon of a specific tRNA base pairs to a specifier sequence within the T-box motif, and the NCCA acceptor tail of the tRNA base pairs to a conserved bulge in the T-box antiterminator hairpin.
Source: RNAcentral
UAAAAAGCGAUGAUGGAAAAGAGUACGUUCUGGUUGUUUGGCAGCGAACCCGGGAUUGGUGUGAGCCGGGGCAAAAACUGGAGCGGAAAAUCCUUCCGGAGCUGCGAGCUGAACGCGAGGUAAGCCCUCGUCAUUAGGGGAGCCGGUGCUGCCGACCGUUAUUUCCGGCGCAGGUAUAACCGCUUGGUAGGGGAGUACCUGACAAAGAGCCUGCCGACUGGCAGGAAACAGGGUGGUACCGCGAGAACCCCUCUCGUCCCUGGU